UCCGCCGCCGCAUCCAACCCUAACCCCAGAGCUUCGUCGCGCCUCCAACCCUAAUCCCAGAACUUCGUCGUGCUUCCAACCCCUGCUUCGCCGCUCCCUCCAUCGACGCUCCCUUCGUCUCAAAGCCUCCGUCGUGCUCACUCUGUCGUAAGCCUUCAAACGUCGCUCCUUCCUCCAUGACUGAAACCCGUAACGCUCUGCUUUUUCUCCUGCGUCGUGACUUCACCUUCCUCCAAACAAAAUUGAAAAACCCUAACCUGGAGGCCUUCCACUGCAAACCUACCGAUCCCUAAUUCCGUCUCAUCAUCAGAGAUUGAAAAUGAGUAGGCGUGGGAGCAGAAUAGUCUACGUUGGGAACCUCCCUGGUGAUAUUCGUGAAAGAGAAGUAGAAGAUUUGUUUUCAAAGGUUGUUUAAAUUUGAGCUCUUGUGGUUUUAGAAAUGUUAAAAGCUUUGAUGCAAAAUUUGGCAUAUAAAGUUGUUAAAUUGCUUGCUGCAGAAAAUUCAGCAGAUUGGCGCCAACUUGUAUGAAAUUUUGGGAAAAAUAUGUACGGUAAUUUUUAAUGAAAUAAGUUGAAUAAUGAAUCUGAUGAUGAUUUGCAGAACUGCAUCACACUAACAAAGGAGAAUGUC
Long non-coding RNA from Arachis duranensis, 631 nucleotides. RefSeq lists it as uncharacterized. Lineage: Eukaryota; Viridiplantae; Streptophyta; Magnoliopsida; Fabales; Fabaceae. The transcript is spliced from 3 exons. The record is from RefSeq and is a predicted model, not a curated record.